GGGAAUUUUCCGCAAUGGGCGAAAGCCUGAUGGAGCAACGCCGCGUGAGUGAAGAAGGUCUUAGGAUUGUAAAGCUCUGUCCUUAGGGAAGAACCGUGGGUAUAGUUAAUGAUACCCACCUGACGGUACCUUUGGAGGAAGCACUGGCUAACUACGUGCCAGCAGCCGCGGUAAUACGUAGAGUGCAAGCGUUGUCAGGAAUUAUUGGGCGUAAAGGGUACGCAGGCGGAUAAUCAAGUCAAGCGUGAAAGGUGUCGGCUUAACCGACAGACUGCGUUUGAAACUGGUUAUCUUGAGUGUAACAGAGGAGAGUGGAAUUCCUAGUGUAGUGGUGAAAUACGUAGAUAUUAGGAAGAACACCAGUGGCGAAGGCGACUCUCUGGGCUGACACUGACGCUGAGGUACGAAAGCUGGGGGAGCGAAAGGGAUUAGAUACCCCUGUAGUC
Molecule: ribosomal RNA, 446 nt
Filed under: uncultured Bacillota bacterium
Lineage: Bacteria; Bacillati; Bacillota
Description: bacterial SSU rRNA
Rfam family: Bacterial small subunit ribosomal RNA
Source: RNAcentral